AGGGGUAUAGCUCAGUGGUAGAGCACAUGCUUAGCAUGCACAAGGUCUUGGGUUCAAUCCCUGGCACCUCUA
This 72-nucleotide transfer RNA is filed under the name Camelus ferus (Wild Bactrian camel). It matches the Rfam family "tRNA". From Rfam's summary of the family: Transfer RNA (tRNA) molecules are approximately 80 nucleotides in length. Their secondary structure includes four short double-helical elements and three loops (D, anti-codon, and T loops). Lineage: Eukaryota; Metazoa; Chordata; Mammalia; Artiodactyla; Camelidae. The record is from Rfam by way of RNAcentral.